RNAcentral lists this ribosomal RNA (466 nucleotides) under uncultured bacterium. Its description in RNAcentral is "partial 16S ribosomal RNA". It matches the Rfam family "Bacterial small subunit ribosomal RNA", at positions 28 to 507 of the family's 1533-position model. The record is from RNAcentral.
GAUGAACGCUGGCGGCGUGCUUAACACAUGCAAGUCGAACGGAAAGGCCACAGAUUGCUGUGGUACUCGAGUGGCGAACGGGUGAGUAACACGUGGGUGAUCUGCCCUGUACUUCGGGAUAAGCUUGGGUAACUGGGUCUACUACCGGAUAGGAAUCACACGUGGGUGUGUGGUUGGAAAGCUUUUGCGGUAUGGGAUGAGCUCGCGGCCUAUCAGCUUGUUGGUGGGGUAAUGGCCUACCAAGGCGUCGACGGGUAGCCGGCCUGAGAGGGUGUACGGCCACAAUGGGACUGAGAGACGGCCCAGACUGCUACGGGAGGCAGCAGUGGGGAAUAUUGCACAAUGGGCGCAAGCCUGAUGCAGCGACGCCGCGUGGGGGAUGACGGCCUUCGGGUUGUAAACUCCUUUCGUCAGGGACGAAGCGAAAGUGACGGUACCUGGAUAAGAAGCACCGGCUAACUACGUG